CAACUUUCAACAACGGAUCUCUUGGCUCUCGCAUCGAUGAAGAACGCAGCGAAAUGCGAUAACUAAUGUGAAUUGCAGAAUUCAGUGAAUCAUUGAGUCUUUGAACGCACCUUGCGCCCUCUGGUAUUCCGGAGGGCAUGCCUGUUUGAGUGUCAUUAUCAUCUCAAC
This 168-nucleotide ribosomal RNA is filed under the name Physalacria lacrymispora. RNAcentral describes it as "5.8S ribosomal RNA". It matches the Rfam family "5.8S ribosomal RNA". From Rfam's summary of the family: 5.8S ribosomal RNA (5.8S rRNA) is a component of the large subunit of the eukaryotic ribosome. It is transcribed by RNA polymerase I as part of the 45S precursor that also contains 18S and 28S rRNA. Lineage: Eukaryota; Fungi; Basidiomycota; Agaricomycetes; Agaricales; Physalacriaceae. The record is from RNAcentral.